Molecule: long non-coding RNA, 4655 nt
Organism: Lytechinus pictus (painted urchin)
Lineage: Eukaryota; Metazoa; Echinodermata; Echinoidea; Temnopleuroida; Toxopneustidae
Exons: 2
Source: RefSeq, a predicted model, not a curated record
CAGGAAUGCAGCUAAACUACUCUUACAUAAAAACACAGAACCUUCGACGCCAUUUCCAAGUGAAGACGAUGAAGUCAGGAGAAAGCUUUCUGAUAUCCUAGACAAAUUGCAAUGGAAUUUAAAUCUUUGAAAUUGGGCUAUGUUUUCCGGAGGAUUAAGUUUACCUUUUUUAGACCACCGUAAUAAUACACCUCGCUGAAAAUCAAGCAAGAACAACAUCAGCACAGUCUAAGUCAUACCCAACCAACACAUUGGACAAAACAUCUACGGCAGAUCAAUGCACCUAUGAAGUGAAUAGAAGAUUCAUCUAUAUCAUCUUUAGAGAUCUGUCGAGCCAAAGAGCGAGUCCUCAGAAUAGCUUUAAUCUUCUCCUUCAACAGUCUAAAUUGGACAUCGUAAUCAGCUUAUAACGACUCACAAUUAUUUACCUAAACUACACGGUCGCUAUUUAUUCGCAAACAUUGCAAGUACCCUCAUACAUUUUCGACCAUAACUUGUUUUUAAUCGAUUCGACCGAAUCCUUCAUAUUGGCCGACGUCCCACGAAAUAGAGGAAACCAAGUGCGAGUCGUAUUACGCGAAGAUGUCAGAUUGUGAUCACUGAUCUCUUCUCUUCUGUCUAUUAAACAACCGUCAUGACAGGAAGCCAACAAUUUUAGCAUCCUGAAAAGAGCAAAAUGGUACGACUGACGAUCAUUACGCCGCCCGUUGUUUAGAUAUGAUUUGAUCAUUCUUCAUGGCAUGGUGACAUGUAGUUAAUACAUUUCAAAAUAUCUAAUUUCCAUUUUCCAUUUCCUUUUUUCCCCAGUUGUGAAAUUAUCAUUUUAGAGUGAUGUAGCAGCAUGUAUCUAGCAAAGGAAUUGCAGUUCAUUAAAUGAUCAGUCUUCACUUUUAUCACUACUUGUAUUUAUAGCGUCAAUAAUAGAUUGUAACUAAAAUCAAUUACUUUGUCACCAAGAAUCAAUUACUGCACCCUUUACAACGCACCCACAUGAAUGCUAUGUAGGAAAUGAUUAUAUUAUAGGAGUCAGAACUUGGUGCUUGUGGAGAGGUAUCGACACAAUGUUAAUUUGUGAGAGAAAAGGAUCUUGCAUCCUACAUAAAAGUAAAUAAUAAAAUACUAGUAUUCCUCAAUAAACAAAUUUCAUUACUUUUAUUAAUAGCAACACUACUAGUAGUAAACUUAAUACUACUGCACUACUACUACUACUACUACUACUGCUGCUGCUACUACUACUACUACUACUACUACUACUACUACUACUACUACUACUACUACUAUUACCCUUGUGCGACUUUAAAUGUGCAACUAUUACUACUACUUCUACGACGAUGACGAUUACUACACUACACUACGACUGCAAUUACUUUUACUACUACUACUACUACUAUUACCCUUGUGCGACUUUAAAUGUGCAACUAUUACUACUACUUCUACGACGAUGACGAUUACUACACUACACUACGACUGCAAUUACUUUUACUACUACUACUACUACUAUUAUUAUUACUGCUACUAAUACUACUGCUAAACCAUCACCAAAAUUUCUACUUCUCCUACUACAACUGCUAUACUACCGGACUCAAAGCAACGUAUCGUAACAAUUUUUACCAAUAUUGGGUUAAGAAGGUAUAACUACAUGUUUUGGGAGUAAAAUUUGAAAUAUUUCAAAUGUAUAAAAUACAUACCUCGUGGACUACUACAUUACUCUUUUUCUUCCUCCGUCCUCUUUUUUUUUCUUAUUCCCUUCUUAUUGUUGCUAGUUUUGUUCUUCCUUUAGCUAUUUCUUCUUUAAUUACUCCUUACUAUCUAUCACCACACACGUCUGAUAAAUUUAUGGUAUAUUCAAGGCAUGUCCUCUUUCUCUUGUGAUGACUACGAUGACAAUGCUGAUAAUGGAUAUUCACAUGAUUCUGUAUCACAUCAAAAGUUUGUAAAACUCACUAAUAACUCACAAUGUUGGAUAAAUCCAAACAAAGAUAACAUGAACAUUUAUAAGAAACAUACAUGAAUGCAUGUUAUCACAAUAAUACAAGGAGAAAGAUAAUGACAUGGAUGGUGGCGAAUAGUAAUAAUAGUAUUUAAUGAUGAGUAAUGUUUUUUUUUUACCUUCAUUUAGCUAUAAAUCCGUAUGCGACUCGUAAUCCCGUAACCACGCGACUACUUCCCAACAACAACAACAACAACAAUAAUAACAGUAAUAACAGUCAAACUUUGAUAAUACAUGCUCAGUUCACGAUACAUGUAGGCUAUCCCAAAGGAUCUGACAGGUAUAUAUAUGAUUAUGUCUAAACAAUCUGAUGCGAUAACAUUCCAAAUAAUAGCCCCAUUGACCCUGUUCUGUUGUUACGGUAUAAAAUAUAUUUCAAUAAAAAUAAAUACUUGAAAAUGCGCUUUACAUGCAUUUUCAUGUGCUUCCAGGAAGUUACUAUAGAAUACACCACGCUAGCAGUUGAUCGUGCAUAACUUAUAAGAAAAUGUUAUAUUAAAAGUAAUUAUUUAUGGCAACAUGUGGUCAUUUGAAAAUAUACGUAUUCAGACUGUACCCGACCCUUCUUGUAUAAUUCUUAUAUAAUGCCAAUUUCAAUAUUCUAAAGAAAGGGUAUACAUACACGAAGCAUCCGUUUAUUGUCACCCCUGAUUUUCAAGCUAAGAACAAUGCAACACUAUGUUUUACUUUUAAUGUGAACUACUAAACCGGACAUCAAGUGUGAUUGAUUUCUUCUUCGCAAUUUCCUCAAUUUAUAGCGACAAUGUGUAAUGUGAUAAUCAAACAUAAUUAUCAAGAAUGUAAAGGUAUGCAAGUACAUUUUUAAGUACAAAGGUUGGUAAUGAUUUGCAAAGGAAGAAAAUGUUAUGCAAUGUCUAGAAAGCCCAUUUUUUCCAAAAAAAAAUCUAUACUUGCACUUUUGAAUGUAAAUAGGGGAAAUGUAUCUAUUUCUUAUUUUUGCUCAUGUAAGUAUCGAUCAUGUUUAAAAUGAAACAAUUGUUUGUAAAUCUUGUACAAAAUGUUGGAGAUGAAAGCCAGACGAUGUGCUUUAAUUAUAUUGUAAUUUAUUUGAUUGUAUGAUUAUCUUGAUAAAUGAAAAGUGACUUACCGCUGCGCUAGAGUAUAUAGAUGUCGUUGCAAAUUAAUGAGGCUUCUGAAUUCAAUUAUGCUGUCCUUAAUUUUGUUUCCCUUUCAUGUCAUUUUUGAUAAGGUAAGUUUGAAAUGUCGGUAAGAAGUAAAAAAAAAAUCAUAGAAAAGAGUGCUCACUCAUUGCAUCGAUGUGAUCCAAUAAUACUUGAGUCAACCUAAAUUGGGAAUUAAGUUAUUCAUAUACAUACAGAUACAUGUAGAACUGCUCUAGUAUAAAAAACUCAAGAGAAAAAUUAUUGAAAUGUUCGUAUGACAAUGUAUGAUAAACCUAAGCAUGCACGGACAACAACAAUAUUGUAUAAAAACUUAAUGUUUAGAGUGCACGAAACCAAGCAAACGUCUCAUUAAUGUUUAACUGAUAUUUAGAGCACUUAACCAUCACUACUUCUCAUUUACUAACCCCAAUAUUGUUGAAAAUGACCAGAAUUUUUGAGAAGCUAAAAAAUUAUGAAUUUUGGUAAAAUUCAAGCAUUAUUUUCACGUUGUCCCGAUGAUCUUGGAAACUAUUGCCUUGCACAAAAGUCGUGACAAGGAUAAUUAGGAGACAGUCAAAUUUGACGAAAUUAAUUUUGAAGGACAACUAGUAUCAUGGGAUACAGACUUUUGUUAUAUGGGUUAGUGUGUCACUCUACCGCCUUGAAUAGUGAAUCUUUCCAUUUAGUGGUUAAAUGGUCAACUGAAAGCCGGGUUAAUUCAAUAAUUAUCUUUCCAACGAAUCUGGAUCAUCAGUCUCCUUUUCUUUCUUUCGCGUAGGGGGUUGUCUUAUUUGGAAAGUAGAACGGUAAAUUGUCACUACUAGCUUUGUAAUUCUAACCCAACUGACCGAAAAGAGUGAAUUAAUUGACAGAUACCCUGUCGAAUGUUUUUUAAUAGAUAGACUCUAUUGCACUCAGUUGACCAUUGUCAAUUGUGAUAGUUUUGUUUUUCCCCGAGAUCUUUUAUUAUUUUGUAUGAGUAUACUCAAAGAUGAACGUUAACUAAAAAAAAAACUAUAGCAAGGUUAGAGUCGAGGCCGCAAAUUCCGAGUUACGAGGGCUCUAGAGAAUGCCUUCUCCCAUAGACUUUGUACACGUGACUCGGUCCAAGGCCGGUAAAAUGUGGCCCCAAAGACCGGCCUCAACUCCAUCCUUGUUAAAUAGAUCGUAACAGAAAGGAUUACUUCCUACACGUUAAUUUCACUAAUUUGAUCAAAUGUCUUAUCUUCCAAGAUAGAUGAGUACAUAGUAAGAGUAAGAGUAAAAUUAAAUACGAAGUUAUUGAUGCAUGGAUGAAGAAAAAAAACACUUUGUUUUCUUCGUUGAGGAUUCUUCAAUUUCUAUAGAUUUUAGGUGUUAGAACGAUGGGUAUUUUGUUUUGCGAUUUUAUCGUUUUAUUUUUUGGUGGAAACGAAAUGUAAAGUCUUUAAAUUCCUAUCACCCUCUCUGCUUGUAUACGUUUUGGGUUGAUAGACUUGAUUUGUGUUUUGUUCUUAAAAAGAAUUGAAUCGGAAUAAAUCAAUGCAAGUGUUUUGUCUCAA